UGAAGUCGAACGAGAAGUACGUAGCAAUACGUAUUGUAAAGUGGCGCACGGGUGAGUAACACGUGGGUAAUCUGCCCUUGAGUUUGGGAUAACCCCGCGAAAGCGGGGCUAAUACCGAAUAAGACCACGGGGACCAAAGUCCCUGAGGUAAAAGGUGGCCUCUAUUUAUAAGCUACCACUUAAGGAUGAGCCCGCGGCCCAUUAGCUAGUUGGCAGGGUAAUGGCCUACCAAGGCAAUGAUGGGUAGCUGGUCUGAGAGGACGAUCAGCCACACUGGAACUGAGACACGGUCCAGACUCCUACGGGAGGCAGCAGUGGGGAAUAUUGCGCAAUGGGCGAAAGCCUGACGCAGCAACGCCGCGUGGGGGAUGAAGGUUUUCGGAUUGUAAACCCCUUUCGACCGGAACGAAUCUCCUCCUGGUAAAUAAUCAGGAGGAUCGACGGUACCGGGAGAAGAAGCCACGGCUAACUCUGUGCCAGCAGCCGCGGUAAGACAGAGGUGGCAAGCGUUGUUCGGAUUUAUUGGGCGUAAAGCGAACGCAGGCGGUUUGGUAAGUCAGGGGUGAAAGACCACAGCUUAACUGUGGUAUUGCCUUUGAUACUGCCUUUCUUGAGUGGAGUAGGGGGAAGCGGAAUUCCGAGUGUAGAGGUGAAAUUCGUAGAUAUUCGGAGGAACACCGGUGGCGAAGGCGGCUUCCUGGACUCUAACUGACGCUCAUGUUCGAAAGCGUGGGUAGCAAACAGGAUUAGAUACCCUGGUAGUCCACGCCCUAAACGAUGGGCACUAGUGUGGGAGGUAUCGACCCCUUCCGUG
This 814-nucleotide ribosomal RNA is filed under the name uncultured Pseudomonadota bacterium. RNAcentral describes it as "bacterial SSU rRNA". It matches the Rfam family "Bacterial small subunit ribosomal RNA", at positions 56 to 845 of the family's 1533-position model. Lineage: Bacteria; Pseudomonadati; Pseudomonadota. The record is from RNAcentral.